CACGUAGGGCGCAAGCGUUGUCCGGAAUUAUUGGGCGUAAAGGGCUCGUAGGCGGUCUGUUGCGUCUGCUGUGAAAACCCGGGGCUUAACCCCUGGCUUGCAGUGGAUACGGACAGACUAGAGGUAGGUAGGGGAGAAUGGAAUUCCCGGUGUAGAGGUGAAAUUCGUAGAUAUCGGGAGGAACACCAGUGGCGAAGGCGGCUUACUGGACAGGUCCUGACACUGAGACGCGAAAGCGUGGGUAGCAAACAGG
Molecule: ribosomal RNA, 253 nt
Filed under: uncultured bacterium
Lineage: Bacteria
Description: partial 16S ribosomal RNA
Rfam family: Bacterial small subunit ribosomal RNA
Source: RNAcentral